UCCCUGGUGGCUCAGAUGGUAAAGAACCUGCUUGCACUGCAGGAGACCCAGGUUCAAUCCCUGGGUCGGGAA
Molecule: non-coding RNA, 72 nt
Organism: Bos taurus (domestic cattle)
Lineage: Eukaryota; Metazoa; Chordata; Mammalia; Artiodactyla; Bovidae
Source: Rfam